CAUUGAUCUGUUUUUUUAAAUAAGGGUGGUCAUAUAAAGCACAGGUUCAACCCUUGAAUUCACUUACCUCUAACUGUGCUGCAGGCAUUUUAGCAGUGCAGUCUGUGAGCAAUGGCAAAGAGAUCAACAGCACACGUGUUUCUCGUGUCUCUGUGUACCAUGACAAGGACCAAAGUGGUGAGACAAGCUGACCAGUGGUGAUUUCACACCAAUGUGUGUUUCUCUGGUGCACGUUUACGGUGGCUAGUAGUGACGCGCCUGACUCACUGACUCACACCCGCGGGUGGGUGCGGGCUCGUGUUAAAAAUAAUAGAUUUGAGCUCGACUCGGGCGGGUGUGGAUCAAAACAAGCCGACCCACGCAUCACUAGUGGCUAGCAUCAAAUUGUGAGACAGAAAGUAUGACAGUGUGGCGCAAAAACGAAAAGCACAUCGAGCAGCGUGAGGUGGAUCUACUUAAAAAGAUCCCCAAACUGGUUAUUUUCAGGUCUGCUGGAUCGUCAUCCAGUCAGCCGGAGCCGGACCCGACCCCGAGUUCACGGCUGCCUAAGCAGUACGUAUCAAGACUGAAUCACCUGGCCCUGGUGUCCAUAGAGAGGUUAGAAAACCUUCUAAAGUUUUCAAUUGCACGCAGAAUCCCAAGAUCACUCCAGAACAUUUUCACAUGGGAAAUCCACAAUCUGGGAGAAAGCCCCUGGAUGUUUUUCUUCUCUCGCAAGUAAGUUUUGAAAAAGCCUGGAAGCUACCCCGUGUUUGUGUUGGCAGGACCGCGUGCUCGUGUGCAAAGAAGGAACACUAAUACUGAUAGUGCCAGUGGGAGGAGAUUUUACUCAAGCCACUGACCUCUCACUCUUAAAACCUGCUUUUUAAUGCGGGGCCCAAGCCGUAGAACAAACAUCGAAGAGGAAGGAGAGAAAACAAAGACCAGAAAGAAUGAGAGAGAGAGAAUAAAGGAAUAAAACAGAUAACCUCCUUCUAAUAAUGUUAGUAAAUCACUGGCGUCAUGCUUGGUUGUGAUGAAUAAUGCAGGAAUCCGAUUACUGCCCCCUCCCAACCCCCCUACUAACCCUAACCCAAGCCUCAUAAAUGCUGGUUUUUAAUCUGGAAGGGGCUGUAUCAUUUACCCAGAGGACAGCUGCAGCUGGAAAAGACAACCAUGAAAAUCCUGAAGAAAGCUUAAUCAUCAGUGCUGGAGAGCGGACCAAGGCCGUCUGUGAAAAAGCCCAAAUGGGAUUUCUCCGGCAGCCAAUCAGACAGGCCCAAAAAAUUCAACCAUUGUUGUGGCUAAUGUGUAAGGGUACUUUUCUUCUUUCAUCCCCAUUGUAGCUGGCUUAUUUGGGCAAUGAGUGCUACCCUAAGGGCUUUCUAGAUAAGAAAAAAAACAUCAUCCGAGGUCAGAUCUUUUUCUACUUGUGGCACAGGUUUGAUUGGCCUGGAGCAAGGCCAGCACGAUGCGU
RNAcentral lists this long non-coding RNA (1456 nucleotides) under Lepisosteus oculatus (spotted gar). RNAcentral's name for it is "lncRNA (ENSLOCG00000022383.1)". Lineage: Eukaryota; Metazoa; Chordata; Actinopteri; Semionotiformes; Lepisosteidae. The record is from RNAcentral.